This 859-nucleotide ribosomal RNA is filed under the name uncultured Actinomycetes bacterium. RNAcentral's name for it is "bacterial SSU rRNA". It matches the Rfam family "Bacterial small subunit ribosomal RNA", at positions 51 to 916 of the family's 1533-position model. Lineage: Bacteria; Bacillati; Actinomycetota; Actinomycetes. The record is from RNAcentral.
ACACAUGCAAGUCGAACGAUGAAGCUCCAGCUUGCUGGGGUGGAUUAGUGGCGAACGGGUGAGUAACACGUGAGUAACCUGCCCCUGACUUCGGGAUAACCGCGAGAAAUCGUGGCUAAUACUGGAUGUUCACAUGUGCCUGCAUGGGUGUGUGUGGAAAGAUUUAUCGGUUGGGGAUGGGCUCGCGGCCUAUCAGCUUGUUGGUGGGGUGAUGGCCUACCAAGGCGACGACGGGUAGCCGGCCUGAGAGGGUGACCGGCCACACUGGGACUGAGACACGGCCCAGACUCCUACGGGAGGCAGCAGUGGGGAAUAUUGCACAAUGGGCGAAAGCCUGAUGCAGCGACGCCGCGUGAGGGAUGACGGCCUUCGGGUUGUAAACCUCUUUCAGUAGGGAAGAAGCCUUCGGGUGACGGUACCUGCAGAAGAAGCGCCGGCCAACUACGUGCCAGCAGCCGCGGUAAUACGUAGGGCGCAAGCGUUGUCCGGAAUUAUUGGGCGUAAAGAGCUCGUAGGCGGUUUGUCGCGUCUGCUGUGAAAACGCAAGGCUUAACCUUGCGCCUGCAGUGGGUACGGGCAGACUAGAGUGCGGUAGGGGAGACUGGAAUUCCUGGUGUAGCGGUGGAAUGCGCAGAUAUCAGGAGGAACACCGAUGGCGAAGGCAGGUCUCUGGGCCGUUACUGACGCUGAGGAGCGAAAGCAUGGGGAGCGAACAGGAUUAGAUACCCUGGUAGUCCAUGCCGUAAACGUUGGGCACUAGGUGUGGGGUCCAUUCCACGGAUUCCGCGCCGCAGCUAACGCAUUAAGUGCCCCGCCUGGGGAGUACGGCCGCAAGGCUAAAACUCAAAUGAAUUGACGG